Quercus robur (English oak) is the source of this 1863-nucleotide long non-coding RNA. RefSeq lists it as uncharacterized. Lineage: Eukaryota; Viridiplantae; Streptophyta; Magnoliopsida; Fagales; Fagaceae. The transcript has 2 exons. The record is from RefSeq and is a predicted model, not a curated record.
UCUUCUUUGACUUUUCAAGACAAUUUGAGCUUCCAAGAAACUCUCUUGCUCUCAUUUUUCCAUGGGUUCACAUGCAAAUCAGAAUUUCUCACUCACUUUACUCUCUUUUCUCUUAAGGAAAGAGCUAGGAAGCUCCCUUGAGUCUUUCUCUCAAGUCCAUGGGUUCACACACUAAUAGAAAGACAAGACUCAUUUCAUUUCUUAUUCACACUUUCUCAAAGAAACUAGAAGACUCAAAAACUCUCUCAAGCUCUCUACCUCUCAUACUUUCGAGUCCAGCCACUAGGAAAGGGAAAUCCUUUCAUGCAAGAGUGAUUUGUUUAUAUUUCCCCUCAAGAACCAUAAAUUUGGUGUUACCAGUUCCCCAGGUCUAAGCUCCUUCGACUUUAGGCUCUCGGUUCCUCUACUUUUAGGUAAGGGAUAAGUUAUAUGGGCAUUUGGUAAGUCAUGAGAUUAUUUUAAAGUAUAUUAUGCAUUAAAAGGUUUUUUUAUUAGAGAUAUGACAUAUAAUCAUGUUUCAGACAAAAGUAUGUUUGUGAACUUUCGAAAACUUAUGUAUAUGAUUUAAGCAUAUUAAUGCUAUUAUUGAUUCCACGAACAUGAUGUUUAAAGAAAAGAAUGAAGAUACUAUUAUUAUGAAAUGUUAUGCAAAAUAAGAAAUUUCAGUAUGAUGUAAAAUAUGAGAUAUUUUCGGAUUAUAUCCUCUGGUGAUCUGAACUCUGCCAGUAGGGGUUAAUUACUGGCUUUCCAUGGAAAACGUUAUCUGAUUGACCAUUAUAAGUGGAACUGGCUCUGCUGUACCCACCCUUGUUGAUUACGGCCAACUUGUGGAGGAAGUCAACCGACCCUAUGGUUGAAUGUAUGUAUUAUGAUGUGAUCCCGGGAAUACCUGGCAUUGUGGGGAAUGUUGGAUGCCUAGCACCGUGGUGCUAGAAGUCUCCCAAAUAAGUACAGACUUAUCAAAUAUGGACUAACCAAUAAGUUAUUUAUGAAUAGUUAUAUUAUGUUAUUAAUCAUGAGAGAAAGAUUUUGUUUAAAUGUAUUAUGAAAAGUUAAAAUCUCUCAUGAAAAGAAGUUUAUGAUGAAAAGAAAAGUUGUUCUUUAAAAAUAAGAGUUUCUGAAGUUUUGUUACGCUUUAAAGAUAAAGUUUCUGAUAAAAGUACAAGUUUAUGUUAAAAAGUUAUAAGAUAUCUGUUCUUUAUAAAACGUUAAGUUUUAUAACUAAGAAAGUUAUAAUAUUUUAUGAGAAGAAGUUUGUGAAGAAAAGUUUUGUUAUUCUUUAAGAUGUUUCUAGUUUAAGACAAAGUUACUAAUUAUUUGAUUUAAGUUAAAAUAAUUAUUUUGUAAUGAGAAUGCAUAUAUAUUGAUUUUAAACAAUCAAUAUUAUAUUUGGUGACUUUGUAAGAAACGAAAAAAAUUAAAUUCGAAAGGUUUUGGUAAUAUUAUUCUUAUAAGGAAAGGGAGAACAAUUAUUUUCCUAUGAAAACCGUAUAAAUUAUUAUUAUGAAUAAUAUAAAAUACGAUACAUGAAAAGAUGUUCUCCUAUUCGAAUAUUCAUAAAAUGAAAUUAUUUGAUUUACAUACAUCCUUAUUAAAUUCUCAUGUAUCUUACCUUUAUUGAGCUGUGUAGCUCACCUCUUCCACUCUUUCAGUCAACAGGUUUUAUUUUAGAGCAUAACAAGUCUUAGUCGAGUUUUAGAAGGAGCUGGUUUUAGUUUUAAAAGUAUAGAUCCCGAAUUAGCAAAUUGAUGUUUAGCUUUGUAGUGUUAUGUAUUUUAGGAUCUAAUGAAAGUUGUGUACGUUAAAGUAUUAAGAGAUGUAUUAUGUGAAAUUUAGAAUUUGAGUAAUUGGUGUAUUAUGUUA